Molecule: non-coding RNA, 24 nt
Filed under: Arabidopsis thaliana (thale cress)
Lineage: Eukaryota; Viridiplantae; Streptophyta; Magnoliopsida; Brassicales; Brassicaceae
Source: RNAcentral
GAGAAGCUGUCAAAGAGAAGGUAC